RNAcentral lists this ribosomal RNA (249 nucleotides) under uncultured bacterium. RNAcentral describes it as "partial 16S ribosomal RNA". It matches the Rfam family "Bacterial small subunit ribosomal RNA", at positions 355 to 595 of the family's 1533-position model. The record is from RNAcentral.
UGGGGAAUUGUUCACAAUGGGCGCAAGCCUGAUGACGCAACGCCGCGUGGGGGAUGAAGGUCUUCGGAUCGUAAACCCCUGUCGAAUGGGACGAAUAGCUUCCGGAUCAAUACCCCGGAGGAAUGACGGUCACGUUAAAGGAAGCCACGGCUACCUCUGUGCCAGCAGCCGCGGUAAUACAGAGGUGGCAAGCGUUGUUCGGAAUUUCUGGGCGGAAAGGGGGGGUAGGCGGCCAUGUGAGACAGACGG